AGAGUUUGAUCAUGGCUCAGGACGAACGCUGGCGGCGUGCCUAAUACAUGCAAGUCGAACGCUUCUUUUUCCACCGGAGCUUGCUCCACCGGAAAAAGAGGAGUGGCGAACGGGUGAGUAACACGUGGGUAACCUGCCCAUCAGAAGGGGAUAACACUUGGAAACAGGUGCUAAUACCGUAUAACAAUCGAAACCGCAUGGUUUUGAUUUGAAAGGCGCUUUCGGGUGUCGCUGAUGGAUGGACCCGCGGUGCAUUAGCUAGUUGGUGAGGUAACGGCUCACCAAGGCGACGAUGCAUAGCCGACCUGAGAGGGUGAUCGGCCACAUUGGGACUGAGACACGGCCCAAACUCCUACGGGAGGCAGCAGUAGGGAAUCUUCGGCAAUGGACGAAAGUCUGACCGAGCAACGCCGCGUGAGUGAAGAAGGUUUUCGGAUCGUAAAACUAAUGUUGUUAGAGAAGAACAAGGAUGAGAGUAACUGUUCAUCCCUUGACGGUAUCUAACCAGAAAGCCACGGCUAACUACGUGCCAGCAGCCGCGGUAAUACGUAGGUGGCAAGCGUUGUCCGGAUUUAUUGGGCGUAAAGCGAGCGCAGGCGGUUUCUUAAGUCUGAUGUGAAAGCCCCCGGCUCAACCGGGGAGGGUCAUUGGAAACUGGGAGACUUGAGUGCAGAAGAGGAGAGUGGAAUUCCAUGUGUAGCGGUGAAAUGCGUAGAUAUAUGGAGGAACACCAGUGGCGAAGGCGGCUCUCUGGUCUGUAACUGACGCUGAGGCUCGAAAGCGUGGGGAGCAAACAGGAUUAGAUACCCUGGUAGUCCACGCCGUAAACGAUGAGUGCUAAGUGUUGGAGGGUUUCCGCCCUUCAGUGCUGCAGCUAACGCAUUAAGCACUCCGCCUGGGGAGUACGACCGCAAGGUUGAAACUCAAAGGAAUUGACGGGGGCCCGCACAAGCGGUGGAGCAUGUGGUUUAAUUCGAAGCAACGCGAAGAACCUUACCAGGUCUUGACAUCCUUUGACCACUCUAGAGAUAGAGCUUCCCCUUCGGGGGCAAAGUGACAGGUGGUGCAUGGUUGUCGUCAGCUCGUGUCGUGAGAUGUUGGGUUAAGUCCCGCAACGAGCGCAACCCUUAUUGUUAGUUGCCAUCAUUUAGUUGGGCACUCUAGCAAGACUGCCGGUGACAAACCGGAGGAAGGUGGGGAUGACGUCAAAUCAUCAUGCCCCUUAUGACCUGGGCUACACACGUGCUACAAUGGGAAGUACAACGAGUCGCAAAGUCGCGAGGCUAAGCUAAUCUCUUAAAGCUUCUCUCAGUUCGGAUUGUAGGCUGCAACUCGCCUACAUGAAGCCGGAAUCGCUAGUAAUCGCGGAUCAGCACGCCGCGGUGAAUACGUUCCCGGGCCUUGUACACACCGCCCGUCACACCACGAGAGUUUGUAACACCCGAAGUCGGUGAGGUAACCUUUUGGAGCCAGCCGCCUAAGGUGGGAUAGAUGAUUGGGGUGAAGUCGUAACAAGGUAGCCGUA
RNAcentral lists this ribosomal RNA (1525 nucleotides) under Enterococcus hirae. Its description in RNAcentral is "bacterial SSU rRNA". It matches the Rfam family "Bacterial small subunit ribosomal RNA". Lineage: Bacteria; Bacillati; Bacillota; Bacilli; Lactobacillales; Enterococcaceae. The record is from RNAcentral.